This 700-nucleotide ribosomal RNA is filed under the name uncultured bacterium. Its description in RNAcentral is "bacterial SSU rRNA". It matches the Rfam family "Bacterial small subunit ribosomal RNA", at positions 8 to 701 of the family's 1533-position model. The record is from RNAcentral.
AGAGUUUGAUCAUGGCUCAGAUUGAACGCUGGCGGCAUGCUUUACACAUGCAAGUCGAACGGCAGCACGGGAGCUUGCUCCUGGUGGCGAGUGGCGAACGGGUGAGUAAUGCACCGGAACGUACCCAGUAAUGGGGGAUAACACAUCGAAAGAUGUGCUAAUACCGCAUACGCCCUGAGGGGGAAAGCGGGGGAUCGUAAGACCUCGCGUUAUUGGAGCGGCCGAUGCCGGAUUAGCUAGUUGGUGAGGUAAGAGCUCACCAAGGCGACGAUCCGUAGCUGGUCUGAGAGGACGACCAGCCACACUGGGACUGAGACACGGCCCAGACUCCUACGGGAGGCAGCAGUGGGGAAUUUUGGACAAUGGGGGAAACCCUGAUCCAGCCAUUCCGCGUGAGUGAAGAAGGCCUUCGGGUUGUAAAGCUCUUUCGCAAGGAAAGAAAACUUAUCUACUAAUACUAGAUGAGGUUGACGGUACCUUGAUAAGAAGCACCGGCUAACUACGUGCCAGCAGCCGCGGUAAUACGUAGGGUGCGAGCGUUAAUCGGAAUUACUGGGCGUAAAGCGUGCGCAGGCGGUUCGACAAGUCUGAUGUGAAAUCCCCGGGCUCAACCUGGGAACUGCGUUGGACACUGUCGGGCUAGAGUGUAGAAGAGGGGGGUAGAAUUCCACGUGUAGCAGUGAAAUGCGUAGAGAUGUGG